CUCUGUAUCAAGGAAAUCACAGGUCCUGCCCCAUCCCUGUGCAUAUGAGUUAGUAAUACUACACAUCAUUCAUACCUUACUUGGGUGUCUAUAGGAUUCCGUGAGCUCUUUAUUUAGAUAUUAAGAGUUGAAAGAGUGUUAGAGGUUAUGAAAUUCUAUCUAAAAUAGCACGAAUUCCAUCUUUUGUACUAAUUUUGGGUAAUGAAACCCAAGCCUUUUCCUUUCUAUAACUCUCCAGCUAUUGGAAAGCAAUAUUUAAGUCCUUAGCCAGAGAUACUGUUCCCCAUUUAUUCCACCAGGGAAAGUUUUUUUUCCUUUUAAUUAUUGUAGGGAUUGGUGUGCAGGGCGCUCUUUGGGUCCAAAGUACUGAAUUGCAAGGGAGGGAAGGUAGGAUGCAAUGUUGAAAAUUCUGGUUAAAAAAAAAGAAUGGAGUGGUAGUAUAGCAGGGAUAGAAAAAGUAUGUAGAAAGAUGCCAAAGAGAAAUAGUACUGCCUGCAUUUGUAUUUAUUUAUUUGUUUGCUUAGGACAGCCCCAACUCUAGCUGCUAACUCUUUCCCUCUAAUCCUAGGAAGGAGGCAUUAACUUUUAAGGGCGCUCAGAGUUCCUUAUUUUGGGUUGAAGCAUACUAGAGAAGUCAUUUGGCAUUCUUUUUUUCAGUCUUCUAGGCAGCAAUAUCAUAUUAGGUGUAAUUUCUUAAAUUCUACUGCCAAGGACAUUCUAAGCAUUCUCAUCUUAGUCACACUUCCAGCUUCUAGCCAGGGAUUUCUACCUACUGUUAAAAUGGAGUCCUCCUUUUUUAUAGUCAAUGCCUGCUUUUCAAUAGUCCUUUCAUAGUCUAAAGACUCUUAGUCUGGCCUUGGAAGGUCCAGCUGCCUAUCUCCCCAUCUCUUCUCACUUCUCAACUCUUCCUUCCCAAAUAAAACUUUUUGUGACCUCACUUACCUCCAAUGAGAGGGCCGGGUGAACCUCAUCUUGCAGAAGGAAAUCUGGAUCCUUUGGGAUACAAGUAAGGAGAUGCUGGACUUUAGCUCUGUGAUUCAGCUCAGGACCUUAAAUAAUGGGUUUUUCUGCUUUGGAAACAGAAACUAUUGAUUGCAAGGAGAAGAUUCUUCUGCAAGGCUGUGGUAGAGACUGGCACUUCGAAAGAUGCUAUGCCACAGCACAGAGUUCACUAACCUUCAGAUUUUGCAGUCACUGCAGCAUUUAUGCUCUGAGAAGUAAGAAGCAACUAUUGGGAUCUGGCAUGGCAGUAGCUGGAGGUGAAGAUUCAUCCACCAGGAUUCCUACUUUUGGAUGUGAACUUAGUGGGACCAAUACUAUUUAGAAAUUAUGAAAUGUCUGAUUCUAAUGAACUGGAGGAAUUUCAUGU
Gracilinanus agilis (Agile Gracile Mouse Opossum) is the source of this 1369-nucleotide long non-coding RNA. RefSeq lists it as uncharacterized. The transcript has 3 exons. The record is from RefSeq and is a predicted model, not a curated record. Lineage: Eukaryota; Metazoa; Chordata; Mammalia; Didelphimorphia; Didelphidae.